This 265-nucleotide long non-coding RNA is filed under the name Lotus japonicus. Its description in RNAcentral is "long non-coding RNA (LJAP_LNC001374)". The record is from RNAcentral. Lineage: Eukaryota; Viridiplantae; Streptophyta; Magnoliopsida; Fabales; Fabaceae.
GAGAAUGACGAUCAAAUCGAAGUAUAAAACAUUGAAUGAGUAAAAUCCUCUUUCUAUUUCCUUUUCGUGUGCAAAAACAAUGUUGCACACAUUUCCAUUUCCUUGUUCCAUCCAUGCUUCCAUGGCGGCGUUGUCUUCCCAAUUGUUCCACAAUACCACGUCGCUUCAUCUCACUCGCCCAUCUCCCCCUUUCCCGUUUCCCCGCCGGCCGUUCAAUCCGCCGCUGCUCCGAUCAAUUCUCCCCGUGAACGCCGGCAACUNNNNN